AGGGUUUGAUCCUGGCUCAGAUUGAACGCUGGCGGCAGGCCUAACACAUGCAAGUCGAGCGGAUGAAGGGAGCUUGCUCCUGGAUUCAGCGGCGGACGGGUGAGUAAUGCCUAGGAAUCUGCCUGGUAGUGGGGGAUAACGUCCGGAAACGGGUGCUAAUACCGCAUACGUCCUGAGGGAGAAAGUGGGGGAUCUUCGGACCUCACGCUAUCAGAUGAGCCUAGGUCGGAUUAGCUAGUUGGUGGGGUAAAGGCCUACCAAGGCGACGAUCCGUAACUGGUCUGAGAGGAUGAUCAGUCACACUGGAACUGAGACACGGUCCAGACUCCUACGGGAGGCAGCAGUGGGGAAUAUUGGACAAUGGGCGAAA
This 370-nucleotide ribosomal RNA is filed under the name uncultured bacterium. RNAcentral's name for it is "bacterial SSU rRNA". It matches the Rfam family "Bacterial small subunit ribosomal RNA", at positions 8 to 380 of the family's 1533-position model. The record is from RNAcentral.